Molecule: transfer RNA, 77 nt
Filed under: Magnetococcales bacterium
Lineage: Bacteria; Pseudomonadati; Pseudomonadota; Magnetococcia; Magnetococcales
Description: tRNA-Pro
Rfam family: tRNA
About the family: Transfer RNA (tRNA) molecules are approximately 80 nucleotides in length. Their secondary structure includes four short double-helical elements and three loops (D, anti-codon, and T loops). Further hydrogen bonds mediate the characteristic L-shaped molecular structure. tRNAs have two regions of fundamental functional importance: the anti-codon, which is responsible for specific mRNA codon recognition, and the 3' end, to which the tRNAs corresponding amino acid is attached (by aminoacyl-tRNA synthetases). tRNAs cope with the degeneracy of the genetic code in two manners: having more than one tRNA (with a specific anti-codon) for a particular amino acid; and 'wobble' base-pairing, i.e. permitting non-standard base-pairing at the 3rd anti-codon position.
Source: RNAcentral
CUGGGUGUAGCGCAGUUUGGUAGCGCGUCGGCUUUGGGAGCCGGUGGCCGGAGGUUCAAAUCCUCCCACCCAGACCA